GUAACCUUAUUAUUUUCUUUUAGGAGUGGGCAGUAUUGAAACAGUUAUGGAAUCCAACUGACGAAAAAGCUUUAACAAAAGCAAAACAGCGACUGAGGGCAGCAUUAUUAAAAUUAAAAAGCGUGAAAUGCCUAAGCAAAGGAAAUGAGCAUCGUAUAUACCAGAUCCUGAACUACGAAGAUUCGCAUAACAGUGAAUCAGAUGAGAGAAGUUCACCAGAAUCAAACUACUCACGGAAUUCAUUUGAAAUGUCCUUAGAUGAUCUGGAAACUGAACUGUUUAUAGAUCAGCUUCUGAGUUCUAGUUUUAACAGUCAGGAAAAUGGCAAUAAUGGUUUAGGAUGGUUUCUAUAAAAAUGACUGGAUAAAAAAAACUCCUCAUAAUGAACAUUUCUAAUCAGCAUUGUUAAUCAUCUGUAUAUUAUAACCAUCUGUAUUGUAUGUAAGAACAUCUUUUAUUCAAUUUUAACUCUGUACUCUGUUUAUAUAAAGAUUUUUUUAAACUUUC
Stegodyphus dumicola is the source of this 507-nucleotide long non-coding RNA. The record is from RefSeq and is a predicted model, not a curated record. NCBI's taxonomy places the organism in Eukaryota, Metazoa, Arthropoda, Arachnida, Araneae, Eresidae.